CAAAGUAUGGAUGUUAAAGUUGUCAACAAAAUAAGUUAUAAGUCUUACGCUACACUAUACAUUAAAAAUCACUUUCCCAGUAUGAGGCUCCCAUUUUUCUGGGCAAUUGCAGAACAAGCUCAAAGUUAAUAUCCUGUUCUCCAUAACUUAUUAUGGAAGAAAAGGUAGCUUUUGGGAAGGUCUUUUCCACGUGUGUGUUUGUACUCUAAAUUCCUUGUACUGUUCAGACAAUAAAAAUGGCUGAUUCUAUUCCUUUUCCAGGUUCCUGAGAAGAAAAGUUGGCUAGUACAGGGUCUGUUAUUGAUAUCUUUUGUGACUUUGGGAAGAUUUCAGGAGUGUUUUUUGUUUGAAUCACUUUAAUCUUCUGCAGAUAACUAUAUAUAUCAUCAUGCAUAAGCAUGCUUAGGAAAGCUUUUCUAUCUAGAAUAUAAUUAGGAGAGUUUCUCAUUGGUAAGUGGGAAGAAUUACAACAGUCUUAAAAUCAUAGAACAUCCUGAAUUGGAAAGGAUUCUCAAGGAACACUGAGUCCAACUCCCAGGACCAUGUAGGACUACCCAAAAAUCAAACCGUAUUUCUAAGAGCAUUAUCCAAAUGUUCCUUGAACUCCAGGAGGGUUGGGGCCACGACUACUGCUCUAGGGAGCCUGUUCCAGUGCCCAGUCAUCUUCUGGUGAAGAAUCUUUUCCAACCUGCCCCUCCCCUGAUGCAGCUCCAUGCUGUUUCUUUGGGUCCUGUUACUGUCACAAGACAGCAGAGAUCAGCACCUGUUCCUCUGCUCCAUGUGAGCUGCAGCCACCAUGAGGCCUGACCUCAGCCUCCUCUGCCCUGGGCUGAACAAACCAAGGGACCUCAGCUGCUUCUUGUAUGUCUUGUCCUCUCUACUCUUUCCCAUCUUCAUUGCCCUUCUUUGGAUGCUCUCUAAUAGCUUCAUGUCCUUAUAUUGUUGCUCUCAAAACUGUACCCAGUGCUCAAGAUGAAGCUGCACUAGCACAGGGCAGAACAGGACAAUCCCUUUCCUCAACCAGCCUAGAAGUGUUGAGCAUGAUGCAUUCCUGGUCCUUUUGGCUGCCAGAGUACACUGCUGAUUCACAUUCAACUUGCCAUCAACUAGAAUCCCCAUAUCCAUUUCCGUGAGUCUGCUCUUCAGCCACAUAUUCAUCAGCCUGUACUGGGUUGACUCAUCCCAGCUGUAGAAUCUGACACUUGCUCUUUUGAAAUUUCACGUGGUUGAAAUUUCAAGCCCUCCAAUUUGUCAAGAUCUCUCUGCAAGGCCUCCCUGCCCUCAAAGGAGUCAAUAGCUUCUCCCAGUUCAGUGUUGUCCAGAAAUGUACUUAAUAUAUCUUCAAGUCCUGUGUCGGAGUCACAGAUGAAAACACUGAAAAGUACUAGCCUUAAAAUGGCUCCCUGUGGAAGCCCACUAGUGAUGCCAGCUGCCAGCCUCAUAUAACUCCAUUUACUAUAACCGUUUGAAGUCCAGCUCAUCAGCUAAUUAUUCACUCAUCACAUUACAUUUUUUUUUCUACCUGUAUGCUGGACAUUUUGUCCAGAACAUACUGUGAUAAACAGUAUGGAAUGUUUUGCUGAAAACCAGAGUGUAUGGGAACUGCUGAGUCACGGCCUGAACCUCUGAUUGAUCACCUGAGGCGAGCCAUGAGUCAGCCAGAGGAGCACAGCUGAAGGCAAUUCUCCUGUGCUGCUGGAAGGGGUGGAGCCAGGCUGCACUUCUCCUAGACCUAUUGAAGAGCUGCCUACCAGUGGGGAAGGAUCUCAUCUGGAGAUCCCUCCUUCUGGUGUUUUGCGGGUGAGCCCAGUAUAAGGUUACAUCGGCUGGCUUUUCUUGGUCAACUAGGUGUUUUUCAAUGACUUCCAGAAUAAUCUUCUCCAUAAUUUUGCCAGUAACGGGAGUGAUACUGUCAGAUCUAUAAUAACCAGGGUCAUCUUUGUUGCUCUUGAAAACUGGGACAAUGUUUGCCAGCUUUGAAUUUACUAUGACCUCUCUGGAUUCCCAGGACUAUUGAAAAAUAAUUGAGAGAGGUCUUGUGAUGACAGCAGCCAACUCUAAGCACCCUGGGAUGAAUUCCAUUGAUUUACAUAUGCAUCCAGCUGGAGCAACAAAUCCCACACAAAUACAAGGUUGAAUGGAAAGUCCACUACAGGAAAUAGAAUGUCUGUAAUAUGUUGAACGCAAUUUUAGGAAGUGUUUCUCUUGACUGUUUUUCCAAUUUAGAAAGAUUAGAGAAUAUGUGUUUUCCCUCUUAGAAUAUUCUAAGUCUCAGGCAGUUUUUUUUCCUCAAAGUAGAGGUUCACUGGAAAUAAAGGUCUGUUCUGUGAGAUAGUAAGACUACAGAGAUCUAUGUUGGCUACUGAUGGGAAAAGGAUAAAGAUUUACUGAAAAAAACCCUCUCCAUGACCAAGCAUGCUCCAAAGAAGAAAAAAAGACAGGGUCCGUUCUCUGGUAAUGAGGCCAAACACCACAAAUUGACAUGUUUACUCUAAGUAGUGUUUGGUGAUUGGUUUGCACGGAGAUCCACGUGCUGGCCUGAAGUCUUAAGGUAUCAUUUUUAGUGCAUAUUUUCUUUUUUCAACUAAUUAUAUGAAAUAAUUUUAUGACUAUAGUUUCAUAGCAUGAAAAUUUUGGUAUGUGUUUUAUGGGAUGUAAAGUGAGGAUAUUUGGUUUACUUAAGGGCGUAAAACUUGCUGAAAUAGUGCUGUUAGACAGUAAGAUAGAGAAAUCCAAAUCUACUGCACUCAUCCUCUCAGGCUGUUGAAGAAAGCAUGUACUGUGUGCUCUGGUACUGCCUUAAGAAGAGGUGUUUGAAAAGCACAAAAAUUGUGGUAGGAGUCACACGAGCAGUUGAACAGUAGAGAUGAAUGCUGUUUCAGUGCUGCAUUUUGUGUGGUUCUGUUUUGUUUAGCAGUAUAGUUGCAACCACAGGGACUGCAACACAAGCCCUUAAAAGAAACUACUGCAGAUGCAUAGCAUACUAUUCUUGCCUGUGCCUUUUUGUCAGAAAGCAGCAGUGUGGCAGAACUGAGGUUCAAACUGUGCGUAACACUAACCAUUCCAAAAUUAUCCAACCUGGUACAUGAUCCUCAGUCUUGUGCCUUCUUCUGUGGCACCCUGCUUUGUCCAAUCCAGUCCCAUAAUAUGUGGUCCCCUUGUAGUCCCCUUUUUUUUUACCUUCCUCUUCAUCCCUCCACCAUUUUCAUUGUCUUCCUCACAGUAGAGGGGAUGCAAUUUGCCCAGAACAUUGUGUUCCAAUAGAACAGCAGAGAUUAAGCACAAGAUGUGCUUUGAACUAUACUUGAAAUCAUGGCUGUAGUGACUCCUAAGGCAGUGGUUUGUAAACACAGAAUUAAACAUGAGUACAACGGGACACUGCACAGAAAAGUAAACAUAAGAAUAAUUAAAUGCUGAAUUUCUGUCAUAGGCCAUGAACCUGCAUCCAUGCUUGGGAAGCUUGAAAUAUACCAAAGAUAUAGAAUACACACAAUUCAUACUCAACUGCUAGAAGAAGAGUUCACAAGAUUUUGGUUUUUUUUUUUCUGCUUCCGCAAUACUUAGUCAUUAUGAAUUGACAGUAUUAUUGCAUCAACUGCUGCUGUCAGUUAAACUCAUAAGAGUGGCAGUUGGUAUGUCAGUAACUUUAUUUUUCUGGUGUUUGUUUGUUUCUGUAAUUGCAACCCUCUGUACACUGUAAUGUUAGGUUCAUUGUAAUUUUUACUUCUGAAAAGUGUGCGCUUCUGUGUGUGUAAGGAUCACAUCUGUGUAAAGGACC
Long non-coding RNA from Lagopus muta (rock ptarmigan), 3778 nucleotides. RefSeq lists it as uncharacterized. The transcript is spliced from 3 exons. Lineage: Eukaryota; Metazoa; Chordata; Aves; Galliformes; Phasianidae. The record is from RefSeq and is a predicted model, not a curated record.